UCAGCCGAUCGGGCAGCCGCCCCGGUCAAGACCGGGGAGGAAAGUCCGGGCUCCACCGGGCAGGGUGCUGGGUAACACCCAGGGGGGGCGACCCCACGGAAAGUGCCACAGAAACGACACCGCCCCGGCGCCGCCGGGGUAAGGGUGAAAUGGUGCGGUAAGAGCGCACCGGCGGGGCGGGUGACCGUCACGUCGGGUAAACCCCACCCGGAGCAAGACCAAGUAGGGGGACGAUACGGUGCCCGGCCGGUCCCCGGGUUGGUCGCUUGAGCCCAUCGGUAACGGUGGGCCUAGAUGGAUGGCUGCCGCCUGCCCGACGUGCGUCCCACGCGCGGGCAGCGCACAGAACCCGGCUUACAGAUCGACUGAGCGG
This 373-nucleotide RNase P RNA is filed under the name Chloroflexota bacterium. Its description in RNAcentral is "Chloroflexi bacterium (sediment metagenome) RNase P RNA component class A". It matches the Rfam family "Bacterial RNase P class A". From Rfam's summary of the family: Ribonuclease P (RNase P) is a ubiquitous endoribonuclease, found in archaea, bacteria and eukarya as well as chloroplasts and mitochondria. Lineage: Bacteria; Bacillati; Chloroflexota. The record is from RNAcentral. RNAcentral also lists the same sequence under 1 other name.